RNA transcript from Melanotaenia boesemani (Boeseman's rainbowfish), 4678 nucleotides. It is a transcript of the gene named inverted formin 2, with no coding region annotated. NCBI's taxonomy places the organism in Eukaryota, Metazoa, Chordata, Actinopteri, Atheriniformes, Melanotaeniidae. The transcript is spliced from 22 exons. The record is from RefSeq and is a predicted model, not a curated record.
GCUGAGGGGCCGUGGCGGUUUGAAAGCGGUACCAUCCGCAUACCACGGAGUCUGUCCUGCCACAUCGAAUCGACACAAUCAGAGAGUCCGUGUCUCAUGUUUUGUCAGACGGAGAAAAACUGUUGCUUGGAUGAUUACAAAACGCCCCAUCCUAUGAAAGCUUGAAGAGGACGCGAUUAUUUAAGUGCACAUCUAUGGAAUAAAUUUAAACCAGGUCUACUAAACAUCAUGUCAGGGAAAUCAGAUGGGAAAAAGAAGUGGGCAGCAGUUAGGGGUCGCCUGGGCUCCUCGCAGGACUCUGACACCCAGCAGGAAGCUAACCUGGAGAGUGCUGAUCCAGAGCUGUGCAUCAGGCUGCUGCAAGUUCCCACUGUAGUCAACUACUCUGGGCUGAAGCGCCGCCUGGAAGGCAGCGACCAGACAUGGAUGGUCCAGUUCCUGGAAUUAAGUGGGCUGGAUCUCCUCCUGGAGGCUCUAGACCGACUCUCGGGACGGGGAUGCUCACGCAUCGCAGAUGCCCUUCUGCAGCUCACAUGUGUCAGCUGCGUACGUGCAGUCAUGAACUCAUCAGCAGGGAUCCACUUCAUCAUUGAGAAUGAGGGAUACAUCCGGAAGCUCUCACAAGCCCUGGACACCUCUAACAUCAUGGUUAAGAAGCAGGUGUUUGAGCUCCUUGCAGCCCUCAGCGUGUUCUCUGGAGAUGGUCACCGCCUGGCACUGGACGCUCUUGAUCACUACAAGGGGGUGAAGACACAGCAAUAUCGUUUCAGCAUGAUCAUGAACGAGCUGCAAGCCACAGAUAAUGUCCCAUACAUGGUCACUCUCCUCAGCGUCAUCAAUGCUCUCAUCUUUGGCUCAGAUGACCUCAGACAGAGAGACAAGAUGAGAAAGGAGUUUGUCGGCCUUCAGUUACUUGAUAUUCUGCCAAACUUAAGAGAGCAGGAGGAUGAAGAUUUGAUCAUUCAGUGUGAAGCUUUCGAGGAGGCGAUGGCUGAGGAUGAGGAGGAGCUGCUGCGAGUGUAUGGGGGAAUUGAUAUGAGCAAUCACCUUGAGGUUUUCACUGCACUUUUCAACAAGGUGAGCAGCUCUCCAGCUUCUCUCCAGCUGCUCUCCAUCCUACAGACAAUGUUGGAGCUGGGACCAGGUCGCCCAGAUAUCUGGCUUGCUCUGGAGGCCAUCAGUAACAGAGCCAUACUGCUGGCUCAGGAUUCUCAGAUGGAGUCCUGUGAGAAGAUCAUGCAGCGGCUGAUGCUUUUCAAAGGGAGACGCAGUGAAAGUCGCCACGAAGUGGAUGGACAGGUAGUGAAGGUGGACAAGGCUGUUCAGACUGAUCUGGAUCACCAGGGUGAAGACAAGCCAGAUAAAAGCACAACAUCCACUCAAAAGCUGCCGUGUGCCUCUCCUCCUCCUCCUCCUCCGCCGCCUCCUCCCCCACCUCCUCCUCUACUACCUGGAGGGUUUGGCAUUCCCCCACCACCACCACCACCACCUCCUCCUCCCUUGCCUGGAAUGCCUCCACCCCCACCAUUGCCUUCCGACCCAGGCAUGCCUCCCCCGCCUCCUCCACCACCACUACCAGGGAUGGGAGGUGGACCACCGCCACCUCCUCCCUUACCUGGGAUGCCUCCUCCACCGCCACCUCCUCCUGGCAUGAUAGUGGCUCAGAGCAGUCAGACCCUAGGGUACAGUGCACCAACAAAGGCAUACCGAUGCCCCACUCUGAAGAUGAAAAAGCUUAACUGGCAGAAACUUCGUUCUGUGACUGAUGGUCCCUCCAUGUGGGCCUCAGUACAAAAAGAUCCGCCCCCUCGUGAGCCGGACUACAACAGUAUCGAGCAGCUGUUCUGUCUCCCGGUGACCAAGCCCAAAGACAAGGAGGCAGCUGCACCUGUCAAGAAGGAGCCUAAAGAGAUAACAUUCAUUGAUCCAAAGAAAAACUUGAAUUUGAACAUAUUUUUAAAGCAGUUCAAAUGCACAAAUGAGGACUUUGUCGCCAUGAUCCAGAACGGAGACCGGACUAAGUUUGAUGUAGAGGUGCUAAAACAGCUUCUUAAGCUCCUACCAGAGAAGCAUGAGAUUGAGAAUCUCAAGUCUUUUCAAGGAGGAAAAGACAAGUUGGCAAAUGUUGAUCGCUUCUACACCUCCCUCCUCUCUGUGUCAUGUUAUCAGCUGAGAAUUGAGUGCAUGCUGUUGUGUGAGGAGACUGCGUCGACAUUAGAGAUACUCAAACCUAAAGUUAAGCUGGUGGAGGAGGCCUGUCAUUCUCUCCAAACGAGCACGCACUUGCCCAGUUUCUGCAGGCUCAUCCUUGACGUGGGAAAUUUCCUCAACUAUGGAAGUCACACAGGGAAUGCUGAGGGCUUCAAGAUCAGCUCUCUGCUGAAGCUCACAGAGACAAAAGCCAACAAGAGCCGCAUCACACUGCUUCAUCACAUCCUGGAGGAAGCAGAGGCGAACCACCCGGAGCUGCUAGCGCUGCCGGAUGAUAUAGAAAUAUGUCAAAAAGCAGCAGGAGUCAGUCUGGACUCUGUUCAGUCAGAAGCUGGUUCUUUACUAAAGCAGCUGAAUGAGGCGACCAAGAAAGUCUCCAACUCUGAGGAUGAGGUGAAAGAGCAGUAUGCAAAAGUUCUUGAGGAAAAUCUGGAGGCAUGUCGAACUUUAAGUGAGAAAUUUGCUGAGAUUGAGAAGAAGAGGCUCGACCUGGCUGUCUAUUUAUGUGAAGAUGUUAAUAAGCUGUCGCUAGAGGAACUCUUCGGAACCAUUAGGACUUUCCGAGAACUUUUCAUCAAGGCACUAAAGGAAAACAAAAUGAGGAAAGAGCAAGCAGCCAAAGCUGAGAAGAGAAAGAAGCAGCUGGCUGAGGAAGAGUCCAAGAGGCGAAAAGGAGAGAAUGGAAAAAUAAUCAAGAAAGGCUUUGUACCGCAGGACGAUGGCUGCAUCAUCGAUCACCUCCUGGCAGAUAUCAGGAGAGGUUUCAGCCUAAGAAAGACCCGGCCAAGGUGCGAAUCGGGAAGCCUCCUUUCUAAUGAAAUGCGUAGAGAUACCUGCCCACCUGGAUCAAGUGUGAAGUCUGCAGACGAAAAGGCCGUCGAAGUAGCCACCAUCUCCGCUCCAUCCACACCUCAGACAGUGGAUCUCCAGGGCCUCGCAGGCGAAGUGAACGGCUUUAUCAGCCCAUUGCAAGAAACUGUUCCAGGACUUCAGCUAAAUGCAGCUCAAGGCGGGCCAGCUGCUCCUCUCAGCACACCCCCAGCAGAGCCAGUCUCAAUGGAGGAGAUGCUGCUACCGGAUGGUCAACACCCAGAGAAACCCUCAACAUCAGUGAUGGAUGGGACACCACCUCUGCCUCAGAUUGAAGGAAAACUUCAAACAUGUCUGCCUACAAAUGGCUUUUCGUUAGGUUCAACAGAAACUAGCAUCCUCAGUCCAUCUUCCCUCUCAGACAUAGAUCUGCUGGAGACCAUGUUAGAUGGCACAUCCAGCCUGACAUCUGAAAAAGUGGCACCUGAGGAGCUGGACAUUAACUUAAAUGUUCACAUCAAGGAAGGUUCUUCAUCUAGUACUUGCCUUAAUAUGAAACAGAGCAGUGAAAGCAGUAUAAUGGAAGAUGAGAACGAUGAAAAUAGCCAUAAAAUAAACCAUUUAACACAGGCAGCGGGACAAGAGACGGGUCAAGAAAACAAGGAAUGCGGCCAAGAUGAAAUUAUGAGUAACAAACAUUUAGACCCCAAAAUUGAUGUGGUUGUGCUCAGUGAAGGCUUCAGUGGGUGUGAUGUUCCAGAUGGACUGGAGCCGGAAGAUUUGCCAUCGGUCUCUGAAGUGGAUCCUCUCUCCCUUAAACAUGAUACAAAGAAACAACUGAAGUUGUUUAGGCGAAACAAAAAGAAGAGUAAUCAAGGUAAUCUAUCCAUUCACUUAAAUAAAGAUCAUGUUUGUAAUGCUAGUCUCUUGACGUCUUACAGGGAACUCCUUAUUUAUUUUGCUUUUAUUGCAUGUAACAUGCUAUUUAUAUAUGGGUUAUUUUAGAGUAUUUUGCAUAAAUGUAUUUUUUUAUUAAAUGUGCAACACUUGCAGACUUAAUACUGAAUGGAUUUAAAUUUCUGUUCAGUCUGUUUUGAAUGCUCUGUUUUCCGUUCUGACUCUCUGAAACACAAGGUAACAGUGGGAAAGGACACACUAAACAUAAAACAGGCUGUGUGUUGCAGUGAGGUGACUCCAGAAAAAAGAAAUCAAGAGGGAAGAGAAAAUGUUAAUGUCACACUGGAGUGAACUGGAUGGACAGUAUAUUUUAUUUUGCAAGAAUACAGGAAUAAUGACUCAUUUCAAGAGGAUGUAGAAGUCUCCCUUCUACAAAAUUUCUCCUGACCAAGAAGAGUAAAGACAUCCAAGGCUGGGGUUUUCACAGCAUGGGUGUAGCAUGUCACUUUAAUAAAAUUGUAUUUUUCUGUACAUGAAUGCAGAACUGUUCGAAAAAAGAAAAGAAAAACAUGUGCUUUAAAUGUUUGUAUAAUUGUUGUAAUACUUAGUGAGUGUUUUUGUUAUAAACUCUGUUUACCUGACACCCAUAAUAUGGAAGAUGCAGUGCAAAAUAUUUAAUAUAUCUCAGUUUAAUUUCUUUGUGUUGCAAUUCUCUGCAGAAAACAACCGAUUGUAACUUUUAAUGUUGGAUAUAUUUUAU